Molecule: long non-coding RNA, 755 nt
Organism: Gigantopelta aegis
Lineage: Eukaryota; Metazoa; Mollusca; Gastropoda; Neomphalida; Peltospiridae
Exons: 2
Source: RefSeq, a predicted model, not a curated record
AAAGUCUGUAUGCAGCCAUUUUGCAUUGUGUCACUUGCAGGGAAAUUCAAAAUAUGCUUGGAUGUUUACAUUAACAGAUUUAUGGAUUCGUAAAUUACAAUACGGUGCUGCAAAAUAUCCAACAGUGAUUGGCUUGUUUCGAUUGCCGGAAAAGAGAUCGUAUGGUCCUCGCAAACUGACUACCUUCGAUGCCAUGUCAUCUGUGAAACUGUUGAAGUGAUACGUUCCCGGUCCCAAUCCAGAACCCUAAAAGAGAACAUGAAGAAUGCAAGAUAUAUUUUCAUUAACUAGAAAACAAACCAUGUAAAAUGAUGAAAACUAAUUUCUGUGUUUGGUGUUGACAUAUUCUAGUAUUUCCAUUUUAUUGUUCUUUGUUUAUUACUACAUGCAGUUUUCUGUUAACUGUUCUAUAAACGUAAUCCAGCAUCAGAUAACUGAACACACUGCAUAUCGUCAGAGCACUUGACAUCAGAUUCUGACGAGUUUUAUUUCACUGUAUUCUGCCUUAUAAACUUUGAGCAAUGACUUAUUGCUAACAUACUCUCAUACAACCAGUGGUUGUUGGUGCCUUGGGAUUGGCCAGUAUUAUUACCAACAGAGAAUAAAGAACCUUUGGAAAGCACCUAUGGAAGAGUAGAGAAAGCAUCUUGCCUUUCUGUUGCUCAAAACAAGUUAUAUACAUUUUUAUAUAGCCUAUCUUCUAAGCUGUUGUUUGCCAAAUUGCCAAAUGCAAAUUAAAGUUAAUUUAGCAAAUA